RNAcentral lists this ribosomal RNA (500 nucleotides) under uncultured bacterium. RNAcentral's name for it is "partial 16S ribosomal RNA". It matches the Rfam family "Bacterial small subunit ribosomal RNA", at positions 30 to 523 of the family's 1533-position model. The record is from RNAcentral.
AUUGAACGCUGGCGGAAUGCUUUACACAUGCAAGUCGAACGGCAGCACGGACUUCGGUCUGGUGGCGAGUGGCGAACGGGUGAGUAAUGUAUCGGAACGUGCCCAGUCGUGGGGGAUAACGUAGUGAAAAUUACGCUAAUAACGCAUACGAUCUAUGGAUGAAAGCGGGGGAUAGCAAGACCUCGCGCGAUUGGAUCGGCCGAUAUCAGAUUAGGUAGUUGGUGGGGUAAAGGCCCACCAAGCCAACGAUCUGUAGCUGGUCUGAGAGGACGACCAGCCACACUGGAACUGAGACACGGUCCAGACUCCUACGGGAGGCAGCAGUGGGGAAUUUUGGACAAUGGGCGAAAGCCUGAUCCAGCCAUUCCGCGUGCAGGAUGAAGGCCCUCGGGUUGUAAACUGCUUUUGUACAGAACGAAAAGGUUUCUACUAAUACUAGGAGCUCAUGACGGUACUGUAAGAAUAAGCACCGGCUAACUACGUGCCAGCAGCCGCAGUAA